RNAcentral lists this ribosomal RNA (450 nucleotides) under uncultured organism. RNAcentral describes it as "partial 16S ribosomal RNA". It matches the Rfam family "Bacterial small subunit ribosomal RNA", at positions 335 to 801 of the family's 1533-position model. The record is from RNAcentral.
ACUCCUGCGGGAGGCAGCAGUGGGGAAUAUUGGACAAUGGGCGCAAGCCUGAUCCAGCCAUGCCGCGUGAGUGAUGAAGGCCCUAGGGUUGUAAAGCUCUUUCACCGGUGAAGAUAAUGACGGUAACCGGAGAAGAAGCCCCGGCUAACUUCGUGCCAGCAGCCGCGGUAAUACGAAGGGGGCUAGCGUUGUUCGGAUUUACUGGGCGUAAAGCGCACGUAGGCGGACUAUUAAGUCAGGGGUGAAAUCCCGGGGCUCAACCCCGGAACUGCCUUUGAUACUGGUAGUCUUGAGUUCGAGAGAGGUGAGUGGAAUUCCGAGUGUAGAGGUGAAAUUCGUAGAUAUUCGGAGGAACACCAGUGGCGAAGGCGGCUCACUGGCUCGAUACUGACGCUGAGGUGCGAAAGCGUGGGGAGCAAACAGGAUUAGAAACCCCAGUAGUCCCAUGAU